UAAUAGAUGUGCCCAGGGCAUAACUCAGUG
RNAcentral lists this non-coding RNA (30 nucleotides) under Rattus norvegicus (Norway rat). Lineage: Eukaryota; Metazoa; Chordata; Mammalia; Rodentia; Muridae. The record is from RNAcentral.